Molecule: small RNA, 125 nt
Filed under: Marmota monax (woodchuck)
Lineage: Eukaryota; Metazoa; Chordata; Mammalia; Rodentia; Sciuridae
Source: RNAcentral
GUCGGGUGCAGUGGUGCAUGCCUGUAAUCCCAGUUACUCUGGAGGCUGAGGCAGGAAGAUCGCAAGUUCAAAACCAGACUCAGCAAUGGAGAGUCGCUAAGCAACUCAGUGAGACCCUGUCUCUA